Molecule: ribosomal RNA, 760 nt
Filed under: uncultured bacterium
Lineage: Bacteria
Description: bacterial SSU rRNA
Rfam family: Bacterial small subunit ribosomal RNA
Source: RNAcentral
CGAAAGCUAGGGGAGCAAACAGGAUUAGAUACCCUGGUAGUCCUAGCCGUAAACGGUGCACGUUGCUGUAAAAGGAAUCGACCCCUUUUGUGGCGUAGCUAACGCGAUAAACGUGCCGCCUGGGAAGUACGGUCGCAAGAUUAAAACUCAAAGAAAUUGACGGGGGCCUGCACAAGCGGUGGAGUAUGUGGCUCAAUUCGAUGCAACGCGAAGAACCUUACCUGGCCUUGACAUGUACGUAGUAGAAGGGUGAAAGCCUGACGAGGUAGCAAUACCAGCGUACACAGGUGCUGCAUGGCUGUCGUCAGCUCGUGUCGUGAGAUGUUGGGUUAAGUCCCGCAACGAGCGCAACCCUUGUGUCCUGUUGCCACUCGAACGAGAGUUCGAAGCACUCUGGACAGACUGCCUCGCUUAAACGAGGAGGAAGGUGGGGAUGACGUCAAGUCAGUAUGGCCCUUACGGCCAGGGCUGCACACGUACUACAAUGCCCGGCACAAAGGGAAGCAAGACCGCAAGGUGGAGCAAAUCCCCAAAAACCGGGCCCAGUUCAGAUUGUUGUCUGCAACUCGACAGCAUGAAGUUGGAAUCGCUAGUAAUGGCGCAUCAGCUACGGCGCCGUGAAUACGUUCCCAGGCCUUGUACACACCGCCCGUCACAUCAUGAAAGCCGUUUGUACCCGAAGUCGCCGUGUUAACCGCAAGGAGACAGGCGCCGAAGGUAUGGAUGGUGAUUGGGAUGAAGUCGUAACAAGGUAGCCGUA